Molecule: non-coding RNA, 106 nt
Organism: Copromyces sp. CBS 386.78
Lineage: Eukaryota; Fungi; Ascomycota; Sordariomycetes; Sordariales; Sordariaceae
Source: the annotation of a GenBank genome assembly
GGCAAGAUGGCCGAGCGGUCUAAGGCGCCACGUUAAGGUUAACCCUUAUUCUCCUCUUCGAGUUCCGUGGUCCGAAAGGGCGUGGGUUCGAAUCCCACUCUUGUCA